AUAUACACACACAUAUUUUGUAAGUACUGAUAUAGUUUCAUGGAUACAAUGUCCUCUUGAAACAUGUUGAAAACUAAAAAUAUUUUUUUUUUAAUUUUUUUUUCAACGUUUAUUUAUUUUUGGGACAGAGAGAGACAGAGCAUGAAUGGGGGAGGGGCAGAGAGAGAGGGAGACACAGAAUCGGAAACAGGCUCCAGGCUCUGAGCCAUCAUCAGCCCAGAGCCUGAUGCGGGGCUCGAACUCACGGACCGCGAGAUCGUGACCUGGCUGAAGUCGGACGCUUAACCGACUGCGCCACCCAGGCGCCCCGAAAACUAAAAAUAUUUAAAAAAUAUAUUGUCUAUACUAAUUUAGGGGUUCCUUGAAUUUUUUAGCCAGGAAAUCAUUAGUUGUGAGUCUCCAGAGUGAUCUCUUAUUUGAACUGCAUCAUAUACUCAUGAUUUUUUUUAUUUUUUGAAUUUCUUUAUUUACCCUUACAGAACGAAGUCUACAUUUGUCCAGACUGGCAGAUGAAGUGAGUUCGACACCACAGUUUUAGAACUUGUGCAGAGAAUAAGCACACAUCUUAUGAAAACAUUCAACUGGGUUUUGGGUAUUGCAGAAUAUCAAGAGGAUCUAGAAAGUCUAGUCAUCUUCUUUAUUUGGCUCAGCAGUGUGUUUCGUAUUUUGAAAAAAACUCCAUGUGACUUUCAUAAUGCAAGUAUUGUCAUGGCACCUCUUUCCACUAAAGAAGACUAUAAAUAUGCCUGA
Molecule: long non-coding RNA, 750 nt
Filed under: Felis catus (domestic cat)
Lineage: Eukaryota; Metazoa; Chordata; Mammalia; Carnivora; Felidae
Description: lncRNA (ENSFCAG00000046812.1)
Source: RNAcentral